CGGGGACUCACUCUUUUCUCUAUGGGGAACCCUGGAACCCUGGAAACACACCAUUCUCUGUGAGGGGAGGUAUGGGGACCUGCCCUUUUCUGUGAGGGGGACCCCAAGGACACGACCUCCUCUAUGUAGGAAGCCCUGAGAACUCACUAUUAUCAGUGAGGGGAACCCUGGGGACAAGCCCUGUUCUGUGAGGUAAGACCUGUGGACCUGCUCUUUACUGUGAGGGGAACCACUGGGACCUGCCCUUCUCUGUGAAGGCAGUCUCAGAGACCCAAACUUUUCUGUGAUGGGAGCCCUAGGGACCUGACCUCCUCCGUGAAGGAAGCCCUAAGGACACGCCCUUUACUGUGAGGGGAACCCUGGGGACCUGCCCUUCUCUGUGAGGGGAGCCCCCAGAUCGGCCUUCUUUAGUAAGGGAAGCCCUAGGGAUCCACCAUCCUCUGUGAGGGGAAUUGAAACCUGCCCUCAUCUGUGAGGGAAACUCUGAGGACCUGCCCUCCUCUAUCAGGGGAGCCCUGAGGACCCACGCUUUUGUCUAAGGGGAACCCCAAAGACUCGACCUCUUCUGUGAAGAAAGGAUCCACCAUUUUCAGUGAGGGGAACCCUGGAGACCAGCCCUCUUCUGUGAGGAAGGACCUGGGGACCCACCCUUUACUGGGAAAAGAACCCUGAGGACCCACCUGCCUCUGUCAGGGGAGCCCUGGGGACCUGCUCUACGUUAAAUGAAUAGCUGCAAACAGAGCUCAAGUUGUCAUCCCUGUGGGAGUGGGAUUAUGUCUCCUGGAACUCUAUGGAGAAAACCUCUCAAACUCACUGGAGCAAACAGCACCUGUAGACUCAGCGCGGGAGCGCCUCUUCCCUCUACAGCUCCACAGACAUCACUGCACUCCCAGCAGCACAGGCAGGAGCCUGCACCAGGAAAAGCUCAGGGAUGUGCUGGCCCACUCCUCUCCUCUGACCCUUGAGGACCCAGGUCUAGGGGGGAUUAAGAAAUAUGCCAUAGGAAAAAUAAAUGCAAGAGCUGAAUGGAACUAGAAUCUCUGUCGCUGGACUCCUAGCUCAGUCCCUUUCAAGCUGUUAUUUAGGAUUAUCAUCGGACUGCCCUGGGCCUCCAAUUUUCAGGAGUUUUUCACCCCACCCAGAGUUUUAAGGCACUCAUUGUGAAUUACACAAAUCAUGGAUGUAGCCCUGCUAGCGCUAAGCAAUAAGUUGUCCUGCAUCGCCCCCUGGUGGGCUUUUGAGCUAUAGUCAUAUUAAAUAUAUUAAAUUUCUAGGAAGGACUGAAGUGGCUGGACCCUACCUCUGUGAUACCUUAAUUCCUCCAAGACUGUAAGACGGUCGGCUCCAUCCACGCACUCCCUC
RNAcentral lists this long non-coding RNA (1362 nucleotides) under Homo sapiens (human). Its description in RNAcentral is "HSALNT0397118". The record is from RNAcentral. Lineage: Eukaryota; Metazoa; Chordata; Mammalia; Primates; Hominidae.